Molecule: unclassified non-coding RNA, 1152 nt
Filed under: Hevea brasiliensis (rubber tree)
Lineage: Eukaryota; Viridiplantae; Streptophyta; Magnoliopsida; Malpighiales; Euphorbiaceae
Source: RNAcentral
AAACAACAUAUAAUAUGUUUAUAUUAAUUUUUUAUGAAUUUAAUUUUAAUUUUUAAUUUUGUGACUUUGACUUGUUUAAUAUCAUGGUUGAAAUUUUUUAAAAAAUUGAAUGAAGUUUAGAAUCACUUUAUAAAAUUUUUGAAAAAUUCAAUUGAGAGUUGGUACAUGGAAAAAUAGAAAUAUAUAUGGUAAGAUUUAGCUUCGGGCUUUCUUGUUCGGCUUGUUGUGUUGACCCACCAAAGCCCAAUCCAAAAACUCGAUUUUCAUGGCAGCCCAAUAUUAACUAAUACUCUAGGAGCCCACCCUCUGUAUUUAUCACAAUCCCUUGGGUGGUUGGUUGGAAGAGAAACGAGUUAAAAGAACAGAUGAAUAUUUCUUUUGGUUAUAUGGAAAAAUAUUUCCUUAAAAUUUUAAUAAUCAUGAGAUAGUUAUAUCAUAAAGGAUUCUUAUCAAUUAAUAAAAUAUCAAAUAAGCCAUGAGAUAUGCACAUACUGACUUCGCUCUCUUACCAUAUAUUAUGGUGAAAACUUAAUUAACACCAUACUGAUAGAUAGAAAAACUCAAGCUAAAAUCAGAUUACCCAUGAUUUCAUGAUAGAUAAUUCUUCUUCUAGGGGGAAGCCUUCAAGUUAUUUCAUAAGUAAUCCUAAAAUAUUUAGAGAGAAAAAGUUUACUUAAAUCCAGUCUAUUAUGAAUUUAGAACACAAAUAUAUAGGUUAUACAUAUUUUAUAUAUGAACUCACAAUAUAUGUUGUAUAUUUUGGAUGCGUGAUAAAUUAAAUUUAAGUAAAAAUUUCUCUUACAAAUUGUUCUUCCAAGUAUUGAGCUGCUUUAUAUUUGAGAUACAUUUGCUUGUGAAUAAAACCAUAAUUUAUCAAGAAUUUGGACUAAUAAUUUUUUAAUAUUGUGGUGCAUUUAGAAUAUCUGUUUAUUGUUGAUGCAUAUAGACAAGACCUUUUGAGUAUGUAUAAGUAGCCUGGAAUAGAAAAUUCUAUUGAAUUAUUAUUUAACAGUCGAAAAUUGACAAAGAGAUGUUAGAAAAUGAACAAAGAUGCAUGGAAAGAUAUCUUCCCAUGCAAAAGCAUCGACCACUACCGAAAGGUAGCAAGAUUAGAUACGUAGGUUAUAACAUCACUUUUUUUUUUUUUAACAA